Molecule: ribosomal RNA, 1477 nt
Filed under: Synechococcus sp. A18-46.1
Lineage: Bacteria; Bacillati; Cyanobacteriota; Cyanophyceae; Synechococcales; Synechococcaceae
Description: bacterial SSU rRNA
Rfam family: Bacterial small subunit ribosomal RNA
Source: RNAcentral
AGAGUUUGAUCCUGGCUCAGGAUGAACGCUGGCGGCGUGCUUAACACAUGCAAGUCGAACGAACCUUCGGGUUAGUGGCGGACGGGUGAGUAACGCGUGAGAAUCUGCCCUCAGGAGGGGGAUAACGGUUGGAAACGACCGCUAAUACCCCAUAUGCCGCGAGGUGAAAUGAAUUUCGCCUGAGGAUGAGCUCGCGUCUGAUUAGCUAGUUGGUGGGGUAAAGGCCUACCAAGGCAUCGAUCAGUAGCUGGUCUGAGAGGAUGAUCAGCCACACUGGGACUGAGACACGGCCCAGACUCCUACGGGAGGCAGCAGUGGGGAAUUUUCCGCAAUGGGCGAAAGCCUGACGGAGCAACGCCGCGUGAGGGAUGAAGGCCUCUGGGCUGUAAACCUCUUUUAUCAAGGAAGAAGAUCUGACGGUACUUGAUGAAUAAGCCACGGCUAAUUCCGUGCCAGCAGCCGCGGUAAUACGGGAGUGGCAAGCGUUAUCCGGAAUUAUUGGGCGUAAAGCGUCCGCAGGCGGCCCUUCAAGUCUGCUGUUAAAAAGUGGAGCUUAACUCCAUCAUGGCAGUGGAAACUGUUGGGCUUGAGUGUGGUAGGGGCAGAGGGAAUUCCCGGUGUAGCGGUGAAAUGCGUAGAUAUCGGGAAGAACACCAGUGGCGAAGGCGCUCUGCUGGGCCAUCACUGACGCUCAUGGACGAAAGCCAGGGGAGCGAAAGGGAUUAGAUACCCCUGUAGUCCUGGCCGUAAACGAUGAACACUAGGUGUCGGGGGAAUCGACCCCCUCGGUGUCGUAGCCAACGCGUUAAGUGUUCCGCCUGGGGAGUACGCACGCAAGUGUGAAACUCAAAGGAAUUGACGGGGGCCCGCACAAGCGGUGGAGUAUGUGGUUUAAUUCGAUGCAACGCGAAGAACCUUACCAGGGUUUGACAUCCUGCGAAUCUCUUGGAAACGAGAGAGUGCCUUCGGGAACGCAGUGACAGGUGGUGCAUGGCUGUCGUCAGCUCGUGUCGUGAGAUGUUGGGUUAAGUCCCGCAACGAGCGCAACCCACGUCUUUAGUUGCCAGCAUUUAGUUGGGCACUCUAGAGAGACCGCCGGUGAUAAACCGGAGGAAGGUGUGGAUGACGUCAAGUCAUCAUGCCCCUUACAUCCUGGGCUACACACGUACUACAAUGCUACGGACAAAGGGCAGCAAGUUCGCGAGGACAAGCAAAUCCCGUAAACCGUGGCUCAGUUCAGAUCGUAGGCUGCAACUCGCCUACGUGAAGGAGGAAUCGCUAGUAAUCGCAGGUCAGCAUACUGCGGUGAAUACGUUCCCGGGCCUUGUACACACCGCCCGUCACACCAUGGAAGUUGGCCACGCCCGAAGCCGUUACUCCAACCCUCGGGAGGAGGACGUCGAAGGUGGGGCUGAUGACUGGGGUGAAGUCGUAACAAGGUAUCCGUACCGGAAGGUGCGGAUGGAUCACCUCCUAA